GGUUAAGCGACUAAGCGUACACGGUGGAUGCCCUGGCAGUCAGAGGCGAUGAAGGGCGUGCUAAUCUGCGAUAAGCGCCGGUAAGGUGAUAUGAACCGUUAUAACCGGCGAUACCCGAAUGGGGAAACCCAGUGUGACUCGUCACACUAUCAUUAACUGAAUCCAUAGGUUAAUGAGGCGAACCGGGGGAACUGAAACAUCUAAGUACCCCGAGGAAAAGAAAUCAACCGAGAUUCCCCCAGUAGCGGCGAGCGAACGGGGAGGAGCCCAGAGCCUGAAUCAGCAUGUGUGUUAGUGGAAGCGUCUGGAAAGGCGCGCGAUACAGGGUGACAGCCCCGUACACAAAAGCGCAUGUGCUGUGAGCUCGAUGAGUAGGGCGGGACACGUGGUAUCCUGUCUGAAUAUGGGGGGACCAUCCUCCAAGGCUAAAUACUCCUGACUGACCGAUAGUGAACCAGUACCGUGAGGGAAAGGCGAAAAGAACCCCGGCGAGGGGAGUGAAAAAGAACCUGAAACCGUGUACGUACAAGCAGUGGGAGCACAGGUUUACCUGUGUGACUGCGUACCUUUUGUAUAAUGGGUCAGCGACUUAUAUUCUGUAGCAAGGUUAACCGAAUAGGGGAGCCGGAGGGAAACCGAGUCUUAAUUGGGCGUUAAGUUGCAGGGUAUAGACCCGAAACCCGGUGAUCUAGCCAUGGGCAGGUUG
RNAcentral lists this ribosomal RNA (706 nucleotides) under Salmonella enterica subsp. enterica serovar Agona. RNAcentral describes it as "partial 23S ribosomal RNA". It matches the Rfam family "Bacterial large subunit ribosomal RNA", at positions 1 to 747 of the family's 2925-position model. Lineage: Bacteria; Pseudomonadati; Pseudomonadota; Gammaproteobacteria; Enterobacterales; Enterobacteriaceae. The record is from RNAcentral.